GGGGCCGAUCCGGAUUCGACGGGGGUCACAAAACAGCGUAGGGCAUGCCGAGCACCAGUUCGCUCGUAAAUCCACUGGAAAACCAAUAAACGCCAACGACGAGCGUUUCGCCUUAGCCGCUUAAGCUAGGCCGCUGCACUGAUUUGUCUUUGGGUCAGGUGGGUAAAACCACAGCAGCGUCAUAUACAAAGAAUCGGCCUUUGCUGGGUCACACAGUAAAGGGCUAAAGCUACGUGAAUCGCCUUGAACCGGCCUGUCGGCUGGCUAAGUUCCGGGUUAAAUCAAAAUAGGUCGACUAAGCAUGUAGAACUGCCUGCGGCGGGCUUUCGGACGGGGGUUCAAUUCCCCCCGGCUCCACCA
Molecule: transfer-messenger RNA, 360 nt
Filed under: Burkholderiales
Lineage: Bacteria; Pseudomonadati; Pseudomonadota; Betaproteobacteria
Also listed under: 1 other name
Description: Algicoccus sp022811525 Standard tmRNA
Rfam family: transfer-messenger RNA
About the family: Bacterial tmRNA, also known as 10Sa RNA or SsrA, is named for its dual tRNA and mRNA-like properties. Its role is to liberate the mRNA from a stalled ribosome.
Source: RNAcentral